Molecule: unclassified non-coding RNA, 148 nt
Organism: Callithrix jacchus (white-tufted-ear marmoset)
Lineage: Eukaryota; Metazoa; Chordata; Mammalia; Primates; Cebidae
Rfam family: Metazoan signal recognition particle RNA
About the family: The signal recognition particle (SRP) is a universally conserved ribonucleoprotein. It is involved in the co-translational targeting of proteins to membranes.
Source: Ensembl
GCUGGGCAUGGUGGCGCGUGCCUGUAAUCCCAGCUACUCAGGAGGCUGAGGCAGGAGAAUUGCUUGAAUCCCGGAGGUGGAGGCUGCAGUGAGCCGAGAUCGCGCCAUUGCACUCCAGCCUGGGUGACAGAGCGAGACUCUGUCUCAA